Molecule: long non-coding RNA, 1273 nt
Organism: Trichomycterus rosablanca
Lineage: Eukaryota; Metazoa; Chordata; Actinopteri; Siluriformes; Trichomycteridae
Exons: 4
Source: RefSeq, a predicted model, not a curated record
GCACUUCUACUCAUCUCCCUCCUGGCUCUGCUUAUCUACUGUCUGAUCUGCAAGGGAAAUAAUAAACACGCAGCCUACUCCAGUAGUACUUACACUCCAGACGACUUACAGUAUUGGUCCUAUCAGGGCGUCAUCACACCCAUCCCUCGUGCCUCUCUCAACACCAACCCUAAUAAUGAACCCAGUGCUCCAGAGACGACCGCGCCUGCUCAAAAGAAGAACAGCAAUGGACUGUUCCCACGCAACAAAUAUCAAUGGGCUCUUACGACAUCAUGCCCUUGAGUGACAUGACAACAUUUAAGGGCAAAAAUGCAUCGGGCAAUUCUUCCGCAUCGCUAGGCCAUGAAAACCCAUACUUUAUGCCAAAUGAAGAUGAAUCAGCAUCAUCGUGAGAGCAGAGGAGAAGAGAGGAGAACUAAAGAGAAGAGAGGUUGGUCAUUAAACUGCACUGUACUCACAUUUCAAACCCAUAUGACCUGCGACAGGAAAAUGGCUUUUGGAUGGCCUCCACAUUAAAACCAUGGACAAGAUCUAACCAAACCUGUCACCAGAGUCCCAUCGCUAAAAGUUGCGGACUUUCUUUGCAAUUUUUGUUUGUUUUUCUUUAUGCAAUGUGUUUUCUUUAUGUUAUGAUGUUAUUGAUUUGCAAUGUUAUCCUGAUGAUUUAGGGCUUAACAAUGACUAGACAGAGGUUAUCAAAUGUAACAAGUGUGUUUUUCUACAGGUAUGUUAGUAGAAAAUAAAUAGAAAAGUUAUUUCCGAGCACAGAACAGAAAAAGGGUUAAAAUGAACUAAAAAUUUUAAUUAAUACAUCAUUGUUUGGUUAGAAUAUACAGCCGGAACAUCUGAAUUUAAUAUCUAGGAGGGGUGUCCACAAACUUCCGACUGUUAACUACAUGUGUGUUAAGUGUUACACUUUUUUUUUCCCUUUUUCAUAAAAAGAGUAGCCCACUUAUUAUAAAUAAUUAUUAAAUUUUCCAACAGCUGCCCUCUAAACCUCUUUUAGUUCAGGGCGACAUGGUAGACUUUACAUCUGUGGUAAUCAGUCGUACACUGGACAUGCGCUAGACAGAGUUGGUUGUAAAACGCUGGUGUAUUCCUGUAAUUUAAUGCUAAACAGUUGAGACAAUAAUUGACAGUGAGAAAUGAAAGCACUGCUUGACUUACUGUACAAACCCAUCGUGUUUUCAGACUGCUGACUACUUUAGCACACCAAAGAUGCACUUGAAAUUUUAGAUGUUUUAUUGCCGCCGUUGGUUUUGUAUAUUAAAAG